CCAAACUUGGUCAUUUAGAGGAAGUAAAAGUCGUAACAAGGUUUCCGUAGGUGAACCUGCGGAAGGAUCAUUAAAGAAUAAACCUGACUUGAAUUGUCGCUGGCCCUCUCCUUGAGAGGAUAUGUGCACGUUCUUGUCAUCUUUAUAUCUCCACCUGUGCACCUUUUGUAGAUCAAUGGAUGCGAACUUUCUGAGGCUUGAGCAAAGCCUUCAGGUUAUAUGAGGAUCGACGGAUUCGAAAGAUACCGCCUUUCCUUGGAAGCAUUUUCAUUGUCUAUGUCUUUCAUAUACACCAAUGAAUGUAAUAGAAUGUUUAUAAAUGGGUCUUUGUUACCUAUAAUAAAAAGUUUAUACAACUUUCAGCAACGGAUCUCUUGGCUCUCGCAUCGAUGAAGAACGCAGC
Molecule: unclassified non-coding RNA, 403 nt
Filed under: uncultured fungus
Lineage: Eukaryota; Fungi
Description: partial contains small subunit ribosomal RNA, internal transcribed spacer 1, and 5.8S ribosomal RNA
Rfam family: Eukaryotic small subunit ribosomal RNA (bases 1-73)
Source: RNAcentral